GAACGCUGGCGGCGUGCCUAAUACAUGCAAGUCGAACGGAGAAUGUAGCAAUACGUUCUUAGUGGCGAACGGGUGAGUAACGCGUUGGUGACCUGCCCCAAAGUGUGGGAUACCAGUUCGAAAGGACUGCUAAUACCUCAUGUGGUCACUGGGAUUAGAUGCCCGGUGAUUAAAGGAGAAAUUCGCUUUGGGAGGGACCUGCGUCCCAUCAGCUAGUUGGUAGGGUAAUGGCCUACCAAGGCUUUGACGGGUAGGGGACCUGAGAGGGUGGCCCCCCACAAUGGAACUGAAACACGGUCCAUACACCUACGGGUGGCAGCAGUAGGGAAUAUUGCAUAAUGGGCGAAAGCCUGAUGCAGCAACGCCGCGUGCAUGAUGAAGGCCUUCGGGUUGUAAAAUGCUUUUAGCAGGGAUGAGGAAGGACAGUACCUGCUGAAUAAGCCUCGGCUAACUACGUGCCAGCAGCCGCGGUAAAACGUAGGAGGCGAGCGUUAUCCGGAUUUACUGGGCGUAAAGCGCGUGCAGGUGGUUCGGUAAGUUGGAUGUGAAAGCUCCUGGCUUAACUGGGAGAGGUCGUUCAAUACUGCCGGACUUGAGUGUGGGAGAGGGAGGUGGAAUUCCGGGUGUAGUGGUGAAAUGCGUAGAUAUCCGGAGGAACACCAGUGGCGAAAGCGGCCUUCUGGCCCAUUACUGACACUCAGACGCGAAAGCUAGGGGAGCGAACGGGAUUAGAGACCCCGGUAGUCCUAGCUGUAAACGAUGUGGACUUGGCGUCGGUGGGUUAAAAGCCAUCGGUGCCGAACCUAACGCGAUAAGUCCACCGCCUGG
RNAcentral lists this ribosomal RNA (828 nucleotides) under uncultured bacterium. RNAcentral's name for it is "bacterial SSU rRNA". It matches the Rfam family "Bacterial small subunit ribosomal RNA", at positions 31 to 876 of the family's 1533-position model. The record is from RNAcentral.